CCAAUGUGAUCAGGCGCAGACCAGUAACACGGCAGAAGGAAAGGAGUUCUACAGUCCCGAUGUGGGAGAUCCAAGGACAAUCUUGACCGAAGGGUAGUCCUCCCAAGUUACCGAGAAAGUAAGUCCAGCAGGACCAUAUGCCCAGAAUGGAAA
This is a long non-coding RNA of Bufo bufo (common toad), 153 nucleotides long. RefSeq lists it as uncharacterized. NCBI's taxonomy places the organism in Eukaryota, Metazoa, Chordata, Amphibia, Anura, Bufonidae. The record is from RefSeq and is a predicted model, not a curated record. The transcript is spliced from 2 exons.